ACAAUUAUAAAAUUAAAAUGGUAAUGAAUCAAAAUAUAAUCAAAGUCCGUUUAGAUCACGCAAACCAUUUAUUUGAAGUAUUUAUAAGUUUCACGAAUUUUAUUUUUUUCUCAAAGAACUUGGAAUACACUCGGUCCAUCUAGCGGUGACAAUAUUAAGUUAAAUUAAGUAGUAUUUUUGACAUUUAAAAUCUUGCGAUUGCAUUUCUUCCGAAUAACUUCAAUUUUACGUGAAAAGAACACAAAAAUCGAUCAAAAUACGUUUUAAAACACUCAAACUAUGUGUUAAAAGUGAUUAUGUGGUCCACGCAGAUUUCUUAGGUUAAUUAAUUCAGAGAAGUGAGGAGUCGAUGAAAAGACUCCUCACUUCUCAAGAUAACCCCACUUUUUUAAGGCGUCAAUUUUAACCUUUAAGGGAUUAAUAAAAUCGGGAUGAUACAGUAAGUAGAUUAAUUUUAAUUCGUUUUAUCAACCACAUAUAACAAAUUUAUAAGAUUUAAUAAUUUUUGAGGUUAUGAUAAACUGUCAACCGUUUGGGCUGCGUUCAUAAAAUUAAAAGGAGCAAUGUAACGAAUAAAAAUAUUCUGCAUAAAGGCAAAUUGGGUUAGAUAUCCAGAGAUCCGGUUUUCCCGGUAUAAAAACUUGGAAUACGCUCACUCCAUCUAGAGGUGACAUAUUAAGUUAAAUUAAGUUGUAUUUUUGACAUUUAAGAUGUGGUGAUUGACAUUUCGUCCGAAUAACUUCAAUUUUAUUUGAAAAGAAACUUAAUUGUACUAAAAAAUCGAUCAAAAUACGUUUUAGAACACUCAAACUAUGUGUUAAAAGUGAUUAUGUGGUCCACACAGAUUUCUUAGGUUAAUUAAUUCAGUUUUCAUCGAUUCCUCACUUCUCAAGAUAACCCCACUUUUUUAAGGCGUCAAUUUCAAAUUUUAAGGGAUUAAUAAAAUCGGGAUGAUACGAUUUAUUCCUGGAUUUUUUGAGGUUAUGAUAAAGUGUCAACCGUUUGGGCUGCGUUCAUAAAAUUAAGAGCAAUGUAACGAAUAAAAAUAUUCUGCAUAAAGACAAAUUGGGUUAGAUAUCCAGAGAUUCGGUUUUCCCGGUUUAAAAACUUGGAACACACUCACUCCAUCUAGCGAUUUUAGCUGUGACAAUAUUAAGUCAAAUUUAGUCGUAUUUUUGACAUUUAAAAUCUAAUGAUUGCAUUUCGUUCGAAUAACUUCAAUUUUACGUAAAAAGAACAGAAAAAUCGAUCAAAAUACGUUUUAGAACACUCAAACUAUGUGUUAAAAGUGAUUAUGUGAUCGACGCAGAUUUCUUAGGUUAAUUAAUUCAGUUUUCAUCGACUCCUCACUUCUCAAGAUAACCCCACUUUUUUAAGGCGUCAAUUUCAAACUUUAAGGGAUUAAUACAAUUUAUUCCUGGAUUUUUUGAGGUUAUGAUAAAGUGUCAACCGUUUGGGCUGCGUUCAUAAAAUUAGAAGGAGCAAUGUAACGAAUAAAAAUAUUCUGCAUAAAGGCAAAUUGGGUUAGAUAUCCAAAAAUCCGGGUUUCCCGGUAUAAAAACUUACACACUCACUCCAUCUAGCUGUGACAAUAUUAAGUCAAAUUUAGUCGUAUUUUUGACAUUAAAUUUAAGAUGUAGUGAUUGACAUUUCGGCCGAAGAAUUUCAAUUCUACGUGAAAAUGAACUUAAUUGUACUGAAAAAGCGAUCAAAAUACGUUUUAAAACACUCAAACUAUGUAUUAAAAGUGAUUAUGUGGUCCACGCGGAAAUUAAUUCAGUUUUCAUCGACUCCUCACUUCUCAAUAUAACCUCACU
RNAcentral lists this long non-coding RNA (1817 nucleotides) under Onthophagus taurus. RNAcentral's name for it is "uncharacterized LOC111418586". Lineage: Eukaryota; Metazoa; Arthropoda; Insecta; Coleoptera; Scarabaeidae. The record is from RNAcentral.